CCUCCAAAAAUCUCUUUUACAGAGUCUAUAUUGGUACAUAUUCUCAUAGUCCUCGCAUCAUGAACAGAAGGGGGAAUUCCUGACGGUUCAUAAGAUCCAGAACAUAAUCUUGCCUCUGGAGGCCUGUCCUGGAUAGGAAACAAUUUACUAUCAGAAUGAUUUGGCAUCUUCUGGAAAUGUUCACCAACAAAGUCUCUUGGGUGAUUAUCACUUGUUGAGGGAUUAUGUAUUAAUAGAGCUGCAUUGCUAUUCAUUUUCUUCUGAUCAAUAAAAAAGGUACUAUUUGGUUGAUCAAUGUAUUCUUGCCUAUGGAAAAAGGACUCAGUUGGAGUCCUUCCACUGUUAAAU
RNAcentral lists this unclassified non-coding RNA (348 nucleotides) under Hevea brasiliensis (rubber tree). The record is from RNAcentral. Lineage: Eukaryota; Viridiplantae; Streptophyta; Magnoliopsida; Malpighiales; Euphorbiaceae.